Molecule: ribosomal RNA, 696 nt
Filed under: uncultured bacterium
Lineage: Bacteria
Description: bacterial SSU rRNA
Rfam family: Bacterial small subunit ribosomal RNA
Source: RNAcentral
CGAGUGGCGGACGGGUGAGUAACGCGUAGGAAUCUACCCAGUAGCGGGGGAUAGCCCGGGGAAACCCGGAAUAAUACCGCAUACGCCCCACGGGGGAAAGAGGGCCUCUUCUUGAAAGCUCUCACUAUUGGAGGAGCCUGCGUUGGAUUAGCUAGUUGGUGGGGUAAAGGCCUACCAAGGCGACGAUCCAUAGCUGGUCUGAGAGGACGAUCAGCCACACUGGAACUGAGACACGGUCCAGACUCCUACGGGAGGCAGCAGUCAGGAAUAUUGUGCAAUGGGGGAAACCCUGACACAGCCAUGCCGCGUGUGUGAAGAAGGCCUUAGGGUUGUAAAGCACUUUCAGUAGGGAGGAACUAGCAAGGCUAAUACCCUUGUGAGAUGACGUUACCUACAGAAGAAGAUCCGGCUAACUCCGUGCCAGCAGCCGCGGUAAUACGGAGGGAUCGAACGUUAAUCGGAAUUACUGGGCGUAAAGCGCGCGUAGGUGGUUUGUUAAGUGGGAUGUGAAAGCCCCGGGCUCAACCUGGGAACUGCAUUCCAAACUGACAAACUAGAGUACGAUAGAGGGGGGUAGAAUUCAGAGUGUAGCGGUGAAAUGCGUAGAUAUUCUGAGGAAUACCGGUGGCGAAGGCGGCCCCCUGGAUUGAUACUGACACUGAGGUGCGAAAGCGUGGGGAGCAAACAGGAUUAGAG